This 374-nucleotide ribosomal RNA is filed under the name uncultured organism. RNAcentral describes it as "partial 16S ribosomal RNA". It matches the Rfam family "Bacterial small subunit ribosomal RNA", at positions 527 to 896 of the family's 1533-position model. The record is from RNAcentral.
GUAGGUGGCAAGCGUUGUCCGGAAUUAUUGGGCGUAAAGCGCGCGCAGGCGGUCCUUUAAGUCUGAUGUGAAAGCCCACGGCUCAACCGUGGAGGGUCAUUGGAAACUGGGGGACUUGAGUACAGAAGAGGAAAGCGGAAUUCCAAGUGUAGCGGUGAAAUGCGUAGAGAUUUGGAGGAACACCAGUGGCGAAGGCGGCUUUCUGGUCUGUAACUGACGCUGAGGCGCGAAAGCGUGGGGAGCAAACAGGAUUAGAUACCCUGGUAGUCCACGCCGUAAACGAUGAGUGCUAAGUGUUAGGGGGUUUCCCGCCCCCUUAGUGCUGCAGCUAACGCAUUAAGCGCCCCGCCUGGGGGAGUACGGCCGCAAGGCUG